CUUGUACACACCGCCCGUCAAGCCACCUGAAUCGAGAGUACCCUAAGUCGCUGAUCCAACCGCAAGGAGGAAGGCGCCCAAGGUAAAAUCGGUGAGGAGGGCU
This 103-nucleotide ribosomal RNA is filed under the name uncultured bacterium. RNAcentral's name for it is "partial 16S ribosomal RNA". It matches the Rfam family "Bacterial small subunit ribosomal RNA", at positions 1380 to 1482 of the family's 1533-position model. The record is from RNAcentral.